CCUACGGGAGGCAGCAGUGAGGAAUAUUGGUCAAUGGGCGUAAGCCUGAACCAGCCAAGUCGCGUGAGGGAUGAAGGUUCUAUGGAUCGUAAACCUCUUUUAUAAGGGAAUAAAGUGCGGGACGUGUCCCGUUUUGUAUGUACCUUGUGAAUAAGGAUCGGCUAACUCCGUGCCAGCAGCCGCGGUAAUACGGAGGAUCCGAGCGUUAUCCGGAUUUAUUGGGUUUAAAGGGUUCGUAGGCGGCCUCUUAAGUCUGCGGGGAAAGUUUGUGGCUCAACCAUCGCAUUGCCGUUGAAACUGGGAGGCUUGAGUAUGUUUGAGGCAGGCGGAAUGCGUGGUGUAGCGGUGAAAUGCUUAGAUAUCACGCAGAACCCCGAUUGCGAAGGCAGCCUGCCAAGCCAUGACUGACGCUGAUGCACGAAAGCGUGGGGAUCAAACAGGAUUAGAUACCCUAGUAGUC
This 460-nucleotide ribosomal RNA is filed under the name uncultured bacterium. Its description in RNAcentral is "partial 16S ribosomal RNA". It matches the Rfam family "Bacterial small subunit ribosomal RNA", at positions 338 to 795 of the family's 1533-position model. The record is from RNAcentral.